AAGGGGAGGAAGGAACUGGGAGUUUCCCUGACUCUCCUUUAAACAGGUAAAGUGGGGGUAAACCUUGGACUACCUAUAUGCCACCCAGGAGUAUUGUGUGGAAAACAACACUGCGGAUCAUAAGAGAAAAAAAGCUUGAAAACCCAGAUAUAGACAUCUGGGACGCAUCACUACCACAAAAUCGAGGCUCCUAGAUGGUAUGUCUUCUGCCAUUAUAAAUGUUCCCUGUGAAAGAGACCCCCGGAGCCUCUGAAUCAUCUGCAGCACCAGUGUUGUCUGGAA
This is a long non-coding RNA of Dromiciops gliroides (monito del monte), 282 nucleotides long. RefSeq lists it as uncharacterized. The record is from RefSeq and is a predicted model, not a curated record. Lineage: Eukaryota; Metazoa; Chordata; Mammalia; Microbiotheria; Microbiotheriidae. The transcript is spliced from 3 exons.